This 480-nucleotide ribosomal RNA is filed under the name uncultured bacterium. Its description in RNAcentral is "partial 16S ribosomal RNA". It matches the Rfam family "Bacterial small subunit ribosomal RNA", at positions 28 to 523 of the family's 1533-position model. The record is from RNAcentral.
GACGAACGCUGGCGGCGUGCUUAACACAUGCAAGUCGAACGAUGAAGUUCCUUCGGGAAUGGAUUAGUGGCGAACGGGUGAGAAACACGUGAGAAACCUGCCUUUCAUUUUGGGAUAACUCCGGGAAACCGGAGCUAACACCGAAUACUCCGUCUCGGCGGCAUCGCUGAGCCGGGAAAAAAUUAUGAUGAAAGAUGGUCUCGCGGCCUAUCAGCUAGUUGGUGAGGUAAUGGCUCACCAAGGCGACGACGGGUAGCCGGCCUGAGAGGGCGACCGGCCACACUGGGACUGAGACACGGCCCAGACUCCUACGGGAGGCAGCAGUGGAGAAUAUUGGGCAAUGGGCGCAAGCCUGACCCAGCGACGCCGCGUGAGGGAUGAAGGCCUUCGGGUUGUAAACCUCUUUCAGUAGGGAAGAAGCGAAAGUGACGGUACCUAAAGAAGAAGCACCGGCUAACUAUGUGCCAGCCGCCGCGGUAA